AACAAGCAGGUGUGCAAGGAAUAUUGGUUUAUCAGCCAAGGGCCUCUCCGAAUCUGAACAAAUGUUUGAAACCCUCUUCCAGGAAGCUUCGGAUGGAAACAAAGUGCAGAACAAAAGUAUUGGGCUGCUUUUGGCCACGCCAUUGCCGUGUUCUAUUCAUCAGGAAUCAGCCGACCAAUAACAGCAUUUCAUGACUAUACUAAAGAUUUCAGCUGGUUAAUGCUCAAGACAGCAUAAUCUCAUCUUUAUUGAUGUGAAAGGUCUACGCUUUAUUAAGUGGUUUUGCACUUUGCAGCUUGUUUCAGAACUUUCUUUUCCGUUCAUCACAAUAUAUUCUCCUUAAUCAUCCCUUCAACCGUGCUAUUCUCUUAUUUUUGACAUCUUUAAAAUGCAAAAGCCUGCCUGCCUGCCUUAAUCCCCAACCCACAAAUUCUUAUACUCCAUUCCAAUUUCUCUUGUGUUCUACCAAUAUGACUGACUACAAGUACGGCUAUCCCUAUCCUCCUCCCGGUGCUUAUCAAGGGCCACCUCCAGUAAUGGCACCUCCUCAAUAUUAUGCAGCCCCACCACCACCCAGGAGAGAACCUGGUUUUCUUGAGGGAAUCCUUGCAGCUUUAUGUUGUUGCUGUCUCUUGGAUGAAUGCUGCUGCUGCGACCCCUAUGUUUCAAGUAUGGACUAGGAUCCUACAUCAGCUAGAAAUUUUUCCAGUUUUCAUUACAGUUUGAUAAUAUACUAGUUUGCUGAUGGACAUUAACAAAUCUAUAUGUACUUUGUAUAUUUAUGCUGUAAAAGAUUAAAGCUUUUAACAGGAAUUUUUAGCGGGAAUCCAUAGAUUUUGUCAUAGAAAAAUGUUCACUUUGAUUUGUAGAUCUGGAAGAAAAUUGAUACUUGUUCUUACCCGUACUUUUACGGUUCUGAGCGUAUGAUUUUGCAUGUAUUUUUUGUGGAGAUGGAGCCUGUAGAUCAUGUAGAUUUGUUCUAUCAACAAAGCUGUAUCCUGUAGAUCAUGUGGAUUGACCCACUGAUCAUGAUAAAAGACAACUAUCAUUAAAAAAAAAAGUAAAUGAAAACAAACAUUUGAUGACAUCUUCAUCCCCUAACUCUAGAUCCACAAACACAUACACACACACACACACCAUUCAAUCAUUAAGCUGUAGAAAUGGAACAAAAUGGCUUGAUUGCA
Durio zibethinus is the source of this 1184-nucleotide long non-coding RNA. RefSeq lists it as uncharacterized. Lineage: Eukaryota; Viridiplantae; Streptophyta; Magnoliopsida; Malvales; Malvaceae. The record is from RefSeq and is a predicted model, not a curated record.